RNAcentral lists this ribosomal RNA (253 nucleotides) under uncultured bacterium. RNAcentral describes it as "partial 16S ribosomal RNA". It matches the Rfam family "Bacterial small subunit ribosomal RNA", at positions 524 to 776 of the family's 1533-position model. The record is from RNAcentral.
UACGUAGGGGGCUAGCGUUGCUCGGAAUCACUGGGCGUAAAGGGUGCGUAGGCGGGUCUUUAAGUCAGGGGUGAAAUCCUGGAGCUCAACUCCAGAACUGCCUUUGAUACUGAGGAUCUUGAGUUCGGGAGAGGUGAGUGGAACUGCGAGUGUAGAGGUGAAAUUCGUAGAUAUUCGCAAGAACACCAGUGGCGAAGGCGGCUCACUGGCCCGAUACUGACGCUGAGGCACGAAAGCGUGGGGAGCAAACCGG